AAUAGAUACCCUGGUAGUCCACGCCGUAAACGUUGGGCGCUAGAUGUGGGGACCUUUCCACGGUUUCCGUGUCGUAGCUAACGCAUUAAGCGCCCCGCCUGGGGAGUACGGCCGCAAGGCUAAAACUCAAAGGAAUUGACGGGGGCCCGCACAAGCGGCGGAGCAUGCGGAUUAAUUCGAUGCAACGCGAAGAACCUUACCAAGGCUUGACAUACACGAGAACGGGCCAGAAAUGGUCAACUCUUUGGACACUCGUGAACAGGUGGUGCAUGGUCGUCGUCAGCUCGUGUCGUGAGAUGUUGGGUUAAGUCCCGCAACGAGCGCAACCCUCGUCGCAUGUUGCCAGCACGUUAUGGUGGGGACUCAUGUGAGACUGCCGGGGUCAACUCGGAGGAAGGUGGGGAUGACGUCAAAUCAUCAUGCCCCUUAUGUCUUGGGCUUCACGCAUGCUACAAUGGCCGGUACAAAGGGCUGCGAUGUCGUAAGGCGGAGCGAAUCCCAAAAAGCCGGUCUCAGUUCGGAUUGAGGU
This 529-nucleotide ribosomal RNA is filed under the name uncultured bacterium. RNAcentral describes it as "bacterial SSU rRNA". It matches the Rfam family "Bacterial small subunit ribosomal RNA", at positions 777 to 1304 of the family's 1533-position model. The record is from RNAcentral.